CAGCCCUAAACGAUGCGCGUUAGGUGUAUCGGUGACCACGAGUCACCGAGGUGCCGAAGGGAAACCGUGAAACGUGCCGCCUGGGAAGUACGGUCGCAAGGCUGAAACUUAAAGGAAUUGGCGGGGGAGCACCACAACGGGUGGAGCUUGCGGUUUAAUUGGAUUCAACGCCGGAAAUCUUACCGGGACCGACAGCAACAUGAAGGCCAGGCUGAAGACUUUGCCGGAUUAGCUGAGAGGAGGUGCAUGGCGUAGUCGUGU
This 261-nucleotide ribosomal RNA is filed under the name uncultured archaeon. RNAcentral's name for it is "partial 16S ribosomal RNA". It matches the Rfam family "Archaeal small subunit ribosomal RNA", at positions 748 to 1009 of the family's 1478-position model. The record is from RNAcentral.